GGGGAUAUAGCUCAGUGGUAGAGUGCUUGCCUAGCAAGCACAAGGCCCUGGGUUCGGUCCCCAGCUCCG
This 69-nucleotide transfer RNA is filed under the name Rattus norvegicus (Norway rat). It matches the Rfam family "tRNA". From Rfam's summary of the family: Transfer RNA (tRNA) molecules are approximately 80 nucleotides in length. Their secondary structure includes four short double-helical elements and three loops (D, anti-codon, and T loops). The record is from Rfam by way of RNAcentral. Lineage: Eukaryota; Metazoa; Chordata; Mammalia; Rodentia; Muridae.